GAUGAAGAACGUAGCGAAAUGCGAUACGUAAUGUGAAUUGCAGAAUUCAGUGAAUCAUCGAGUCUUUGAACGCACAUUGCGCCCUCUGGUAUUCCGGAGGGCAUGCCUGUCCGAGCGUCAUUGCUGCCCUCAAGCACGGCUUGUGUGUUGGGCCCCGCCCCCCGAUCCCGGGGGGCGGGCCCGAAAGGCAGCGGCGGCACCGCGUCCGGUCCUCGAGCGUACGGGGCUUUGUCACCCGCUCUGUAGGCCCGGCCGGCGCCUGCCGAUCAACCAAACUUUUUUCCAGGUUGACCUCGGAUCAGGUAGGGAUACCCGCUGAACUUAAGCAUAUCAAUAAGCGGAGGA
This 345-nucleotide unclassified non-coding RNA is filed under the name soil metagenome. Its description in RNAcentral is "partial contains 5.8S ribosomal RNA, internal transcribed spacer 2, and large subunit ribosomal RNA". The stretch from base 1 to 120 matches the Rfam family "5.8S ribosomal RNA", at positions 35 to 154 of the family's 154-position model. The record is from RNAcentral.